RNAcentral lists this ribosomal RNA (982 nucleotides) under uncultured Rikenella sp. RNAcentral describes it as "bacterial SSU rRNA". It matches the Rfam family "Bacterial small subunit ribosomal RNA", at positions 1 to 970 of the family's 1533-position model. The record is from RNAcentral. Lineage: Bacteria; Pseudomonadati; Bacteroidota; Bacteroidia; Bacteroidales; Rikenellaceae.
UGGAUCGCCCUUAGAGUUUGAUCCUGGCUCAGGAUGAACGCUAGCGGCAGGCUUAACACAUGCAAGUCGAGGGGCAGCGCGAGUAGCAAUACUUGGCGGCGACCGGCGCAAGGGUGCGUAACGCGUGAGCAACAUGCCCGUAUCAGGGGGAUAAUCCAGGGAAACUUGGUCUAAUACCCCAUAGUAAUUUUGUAAGGCAUCUUAUGGAAUUUAAAGCUUUGGUGGAUACGGAUUGGCUCGCGUGACAUUAGCUGGAUGGUAAGGUAACGGCUUACCAUGGCUAUGAUGUCUAGGGGUUCUGAGAGGAAGGUCCCCCACACUGGAACUGAGACACGGUCCAGACUCCUACGGGAGGCAGCAGUGAGGAAUAUUGGACAAUGGAUGGAAAUCUGAUCCAGCCAUGCCGCGUGAAGGAAGAAGGUCCUAUGGAUUGUAAACUUCUUUUGUAUGGGAGCAAUAAGGCCUACGAGUAGGUUGAUGAGAGUACCAUACGAAUAAGCACCGGCUAACUCCGUGCCAGCAGCCGCGGUAAUACGUAGGGGGCGAGCGUUAUCCGGAUUUAUUGGGUUUAAAGGGUGCGUAGGCGGUUUGAUAAGUCAGCGGUGAAAUAUUUCAGCUUAACUGGAAGGGUGCCGUUGAUACUGUCGAGCUUGAAUUUAGUUGCUGUGGGGUGGAAUGUGUGGUGUAGCGGUGAAAUGCAUAGAUAUCACACAGAAUAUCGAUUUGCGAAGGCAGCUCACAAAGCUAAAUAUUGACGCUGAUGCACGAAAGUGUGGGGAUCAAACAGGAUUAGAUACCCUGGUAGUCCACACUGUAAACGAUGAUAACUCGCUGUCGGCGAUACAUAAUUCGGUGGUCAAGCGAAAGCGAUAAAGUUAUCCACCUGGGGAGUACGACCGCAAGGUUGAAACUCAUAAGGAAUUGACGGGGGCCCGCACAAGCGGAAGAACAUGUGGUUUAAUUCCAUGAUACGCGAAGAAAC